RNAcentral lists this ribosomal RNA (608 nucleotides) under Aristerostoma sp. ATCC 50986. RNAcentral describes it as "partial Bacterial large subunit ribosomal RNA". It matches the Rfam family "Bacterial large subunit ribosomal RNA", at positions 1399 to 2101 of the family's 2925-position model. The record is from RNAcentral. Lineage: Eukaryota; Ciliophora; Colpodea; Cyrtolophosidida; Cyrtolophosididae.
AGGCCGAAAGGCGUAGUCGAUGGAUAGCAGGUUAAUAUUCCUGCGCACCUGUUGAGAUCAAAGCGUAGUGCGGAUCUCCAAGCUCUUCUGGACUGCUAGUUGUCCAGGCCUUCGGGCCGUUGAAGGGGGAGGGGGUUCCUAGAAAAGCUGCGUGGGCAAUACAGGUCCCGUACUAAAACUGACACAGGUAGACGAGGCGAAUAGCCUCAGGCGCUCGAGAGAAUGGUUGUGAAGGAAUUAGGCAAAAUCACUCCGUACGUUCGCAAGAAGGAGGCCCUUCGGGGCGCAGAGAAAAGGUCCUGGCAACUGUUUAUCAAAAACACAGCACUGUGCUAACUCGCAAGAGGAUGUAUACAGUGUGACGCUUGCCCAAUGCCCGAAUGUCACGGAAGCAGGUUAGCUUCGGCGAAGCUUGCAACUUAAGCACGGGUCAAUGGCGGCCGUAACUAUGACGGUCCUAAGGUAGCGAAGUUCCUUGUCGGGUAAGUUCCGACGCGCAUGAAUAGCGUAAUGACUGGGACACUGUCUCCACAACCAACUCGGUGAAAUAGUAGUGGCGGUGAAGAUGCCGCCUACCCGCAGCAAGACGGAAAGACCCCGUGAACCUU